GGCUUGUUGAUUAUAAUCUCAAGUCAGGCCUGCCCACUGAAGUUUUAAAUGGCCGCGGUAAAUUGACCGUGCAAAGGUAGCAUAAUCAUUAGUUUUUUAAUUAGAAGCUAGAAUGAAAGGUUUGAUGAAAAAACAACUGUCUCUACAUAAUUUAUUUAGAAUUUUAUUUUUAAGUUAAAAAGCUUAAAUUUAUAUAGAAGACGAGAAGACCCUAUAGAGUUUAAUAUUUAUUUGGUUAAGUAAUUUUGAAUUAAUUAUAUGAAUAUUUUGUUGGGGUGAUAGAAAAAUUAAAGAACUUUUUUUUGGAAAAAUACAUUUAUUUAUGGGUUUAAGAUCCUAUAGUUAGAUAAAAAGAUAAAACUACCUUAGGGAUAACAGCGUAAUUUUUUUAAGAGUUCUUAUCGGAAAAAAAGAUUGCGACCUCGAUGUUGGAUUAAAAUUAACUAUUGGUGUAGAAGCUAAGAAAGUUAGGUCUGUUCGACCUUUAAAAUUUUACAUGAUCUGAGUUUAAACCGGUGUAAG
Molecule: ribosomal RNA, 522 nt
Filed under: Trigonopterus sp. 711 AR-2022a
Lineage: Eukaryota; Metazoa; Arthropoda; Insecta; Coleoptera; Curculionidae
Description: partial large subunit ribosomal RNA
Rfam family: Bacterial large subunit ribosomal RNA
Source: RNAcentral